UACGUAGGUGGCAAGCGUUGUCCGGAAUUAUUGGGCGUAAAGCGCGCGCAGGCGGUCCUUUAAGUCUGAUGUGAAGGCCCACGGCUCAACCGUGGAGGGUCAUUGGAAACUGGGGGGACUUGAGUACAGAAGAGAAGAGUGGAAUUCCACGUGUAGCGGUGAAAUGCGUAGAGAUGUGGAGGAACACCAGUGGCGAAGGCGACUCUUUGGUCUGUAACUGACGCUGAGGCGCGAAAGCGUGGGGAGCAAACAGG
RNAcentral lists this ribosomal RNA (254 nucleotides) under uncultured bacterium. RNAcentral's name for it is "partial 16S ribosomal RNA". It matches the Rfam family "Bacterial small subunit ribosomal RNA", at positions 524 to 776 of the family's 1533-position model. The record is from RNAcentral.